CCAAGCUUACAAUCUUAAUUUAUUGGCUUUGUGGGAAGCAGACUUGUAGGUUGAAGAAACCACUGUGUGCAUGCACAAUGUGGAAGUCUGAUAGACCACGUUAUAAUACGCAAGUCACUCGGAUCUCAAGCCCUCGGUCUUCCUUAGGACUGUGCAAGUGCUCGUUAAGAGCAAACAUGAAGGCAGACCAGAAUGCCAAACAUGAAAUGUGAGUAUCAACAAUAACAUGGAAAAAAAGGAAGAAGAUGGUUUCAGACUUAUAUUAGUCAAGAAUAUUGACAUAUAUAUAUGUGUCUCUCUACCUUGUCGAGAGAUCCACUCAUCGGGUGGUCAAGAUGUGGGACAUGGUUUCAUCCUCUGCAUGCCUUCGUGAGUGCAUGCAAGCACGACACGUCGGUGAUGUCGAUGGCGACAAUAGUGUAGAUUUACUUGCGUCAUGGAAUGACAAAGAAGCCCUCCUUGCUAAGGAUGGAUUUGUGUCUAUUCCAAGUUCAUUUCUGUCGGUCAAAUGCAGUUCUUACUGGUUGAGAAAAUCCAGAAUUUGAUUAAACUAUCCAAUCUGAGACCACCAACAAGACAUGCCACUCCGGUCCGAGCAGCAGCCGCUGACACUCGAGACCCUAAAGCGCCACAAGAGCAGCAUCCUUUGUCCACCUGUUCAUCUGCUUUGGCUGAGUGAUGCAUUGCAUCACGUCAUCACGGAGCAUCACAUCACAUCGCCAAUAAAGAGAUCAAACUGCGGCCACACAUGUGUCCUCCAUACAGAACCCUACUUGGCUUCCUGAGCAAAACCAGUUGCUUCCAGGCCAGCAGCGCUAAGGAGCGUUCUCGCCUUCUCGUCCUCGGAAUGCAUUGAAGAAGAUGAGGCCACCCUCUGCUUUAUGCUGCACACAGGACGAACACAAACACGCUGCUGCCGCCAACGUCGCAGCGCCCACGGCACAUAGAGGGCGACAACGGCGCGUUACUGAGAUGGGGCCCCACUCGGAGCUGGCGAAUUGGAAAACGGGCGAGGCAGCGCCCAGUCAAAACCGCCCGGCACCGUUCACCGUCCCACGAAAACCGGGGCACCGUACCGCGAUCUCCGGC
This 1089-nucleotide long non-coding RNA is filed under the name Musa acuminata (dwarf banana). RNAcentral's name for it is "long non-coding RNA (MACU_LNC002382)". Lineage: Eukaryota; Viridiplantae; Streptophyta; Magnoliopsida; Zingiberales; Musaceae. The record is from RNAcentral.